This 237-nucleotide microRNA precursor is filed under the name Oryza sativa Japonica Group (Japanese rice). Its description in RNAcentral is "osa-MIR810a". The stretch from base 26 to 218 matches the Rfam family "MIR810 microRNA precursor family". The record is from RNAcentral. Lineage: Eukaryota; Viridiplantae; Streptophyta; Magnoliopsida; Poales; Poaceae.
AAUAUUCACUAUGGUUGCCAUCAUAAGCCCACCACAUGUGGCUCGCAUGCUUAAAUAACUAACGGCAUAAUUAGAUCACUUGAUGACGACGUAUAUCGGUGUUCGCUAUAUAUACUAUCUACUGGUAAGUAUAUAUAGUGAACACCGAUAUGCGUCAUCAUCAAGUGAUUUAAUUAUGCCGUUAGUUAAGCAUGCGAGCCACAUGUGGUGAGCUUACGAUGACGACCACAGUUUGUU